AUGGCAUUGUCCUACGGCCUUUCCCUAAAUAAUUCCUUUGUUAGCUCUAUUCAAAAGCAAUGUGACCUUGCAAACAAAAUAAUAUCUGUGGAACGGGUGAACCAGUACAUGGACAUUCCGAGUGAAGCAGCAGAAGUUAUUGAAGAAAACCGACCACACCAGAUUGGCCCCAGGUUGGCAGUGUGGAGCUUAAAGAUUUGA
This 201-nucleotide ribosomal RNA is filed under the name Triticum aestivum (bread wheat). RNAcentral describes it as "partial small subunit ribosomal RNA". The record is from RNAcentral. Lineage: Eukaryota; Viridiplantae; Streptophyta; Magnoliopsida; Poales; Poaceae.